Papaver somniferum (opium poppy) is the source of this 1218-nucleotide long non-coding RNA. RefSeq lists it as uncharacterized. Lineage: Eukaryota; Viridiplantae; Streptophyta; Magnoliopsida; Ranunculales; Papaveraceae. The record is from RefSeq and is a predicted model, not a curated record. The transcript is spliced from 3 exons.
AAAAGAAAAAAACUAAACCUAAGUUUUCCUUUCCGGAUUCUCUUCUUAUUUUUUCUUCUUCUUCUUCUUCCUUCUUCUCCUCUAUUCCUCUGCUCUUCUGUGAUGUUCAAUGUGGGUGGUGUGAGUGAGAAUUAAUCGGGGAAAAUAAAUUGGUGAUACUGAUAGAUGAUGCAGAAGAUGGUGUGGUCGUUAAGUAUGAAGCAGAACAAUUAGGGUUCGAAUCCGAGAAGAUCAAAAAGGGUUUACCGAUUUGAUUAAUGUUCUGAAGAUCUAAAAGAUGAUAUAUAAAGCUACUGCUAGAUGAGGAAACAUGGGUAGACGUUCAAUUGAAGUUUUGAAGUUGAUCCAGUGGUGAAUUGAAGAAUUGAUUAAAGGAUUAGAAGAUGAAAUUGGGAGUCUAAAGGAAAGAUUAGAGAUGGGUACACCAAUUAAAAUUCUUAAACAGUUAAAGCUUCAACCAAAUUGAAGUCUUAUGAUUACGGAAAACUAAAUUGAAAACAGUUGUUUGUUCCAAUGCAUGGCCUAUUUCACUUGACAUAGAAAUGCAUCUCUUAUGCGGGGAAACCAGAUUGUUUCUCUACCACCUAGACAUUUCUCAAUGCUAUCCAAACAGUUUCAUUUAAUUCAGAAGCUUGAGAGGUGGAUAGCUGCCCUGAUAUGCAAAUUGCGAGAACUACAUGGUCGGUGUAGCUUGGGAGGUGGUCGAUGUAAAGGAAGGAAGCAAUGUCGUCAUCUUCACCUUAAAACUGCCGGAGUUACGGUAAAUAUUAAACCUCGAAUGCAGCUUAUACCAUGUUUGGACUUCAUAUAUAUGGUUUUAACUACAAACUAAAAACCAAAUUGCAGGACAACAAAUUUGGGUGAAUCAAAUUUUUGAGGGAAACAAGAAAUAGUUCCCAUGAUACAUAUAUCCUAUAACAGUUGAAAAUGAUAAGGCUGCUUAUGUAGCAAGUUUAUUUGUUGUGUAUUAGGAAAACUAUUGAGUAUUUAACACACAUCUUCAUUAUGAUGCAAUGUCCAUUUGCAUUGGCUAUGUGUAGAGGUUUCAACUUAGACUACACUUUGCGGUACCAGAAUGACUUUGUAAUACAUGAACAUAAUAUGUGCGAACUCAUAGUGUAGCUAUAAUUUGCUGGAAAAUAAAGGUUCCAUGUUUGAUUUGGUGCGGGUUGGGCGAGUAGUGGUUGCAUAAGGAAUUUCAUUUUUUAUUUUCUACAA